CCUACGGGAGGCAGCAGUGGGGAAUCUUCCGCAAUGGGCGAAAGCCUGACGGAGCAACGCCGCGUGAUAGAAUGAAGGCCUACGGGUUGUAAAGAUCUGUUGACAGGGACGAAGAAGCAAUGCGAAUAGAUUUGUGUAUGACGGUAGCUGGUAAGAAAGCGCCGGCUAACUACGAGCCAGCAGCCGCGGUAAGACGUAGGGAGCAAGCGUUGGCCGGAAUUACUGGGCUUAAAGGGCGCGUAGGUGGGCGCUUAAGUCAGGUGUGAAAACUCCGGGCUCAACCUUGAGACUGCACUUGAAACUGGGUGUCUUGAGGGCAUGAGAGGAAAGUGGAAUUCCUAUUGUAGCGGU
RNAcentral lists this ribosomal RNA (351 nucleotides) under uncultured bacterium. RNAcentral describes it as "partial 16S ribosomal RNA". It matches the Rfam family "Bacterial small subunit ribosomal RNA", at positions 338 to 682 of the family's 1533-position model. The record is from RNAcentral.